RNAcentral lists this ribosomal RNA (460 nucleotides) under uncultured bacterium. RNAcentral describes it as "partial 16S ribosomal RNA". It matches the Rfam family "Bacterial small subunit ribosomal RNA", at positions 338 to 795 of the family's 1533-position model. The record is from RNAcentral.
CCUACGGGUGGCAGCAGUGAGGAAUAUUGGUCAAUGGACGAGAGUCUGAACCAGCCAAGUAGCGUGAAGGAUGACUGCCCUAUGGGUUGUAAACUUCUUUUAUAUGGGAAUAAAACGUUCCACGUGUGGGAUUUUGUAUGUACCAUAUGAAUAAGGAUCGGCUAACUCCGUGCCAGCAGCCGCGGUAAUACGGCGGAUCCGAGCGUUAUCCGGAUUUAUUGGGUUUAAAGGGAGCGUAGGUGGAUUGUUAAGUCAGUUGUGAAAGUUUGCGGCUCAACCGUAAAAUUGCAGUUGAAACUGGCAGUCUUGAGGACAGUAGAGGUGGGCGGAAUUCGUGGGGUAGCGGGUAAAUGCUUAGAGAUCACGAAGAACUCCGAUUGCGAAGGCAGUUCACUGGACUGCAACUGACACUGAGGCUCGAAAGUGUGGGUAUCAAACAGGAUUAGAUACCCUUGUAGUC